UCGGAUUCAGUCCAUGGAUCUUAGUGUAUACAUCUCAAUUAAUCAGUUCUUUGGCUUGUCUCCCCACGUGCCACGCUACCACCACGCGUGAAAUGCGCCCGUCCCGGUGCGGGCGACUUGGUGUUUUCGCUGGCGGCCCCCGGCCCCGAGAACCCCGCGGAGCCCACCGUCAGCCGCGCGAGCUUGCCCGCCUCUGCGCCGCCCCGCGGUGGAGGCGGCCGCCGGGGCCCGCCGGGCUCUGCCCUCAGCCAAUGAGUGACAAGGAGUUGGGAGGGAGCAGCCCUUGGGGCUCCAGGUGGGUGGUUCAAGCUCCAGAGCUCCCCAGGAAUCGGAGCGAAGAAGGAGUGCACCAGAAGGCUGGAUGGGACCAGACUGGGAGAGUCUUGAUUGCCAUGAAUCAUAUUGUAGGUGGCUACAAGGUCACUCAUUCCAUUCUUUCCCCAAACGUGAGCACAACAUGGAGAGAGUGAUUGUCUGCUUGGGGCAAGAAGAGAUAGGACACCUAAGCACCCAGAUGAUUUCGUGAGGUUUGUCUUGAAGCUUUGGAAAGCAUACAAGAUGAUGAUCCCCAGGUUAAGGCCAGCUGUCUUGCUGAAGCCACAGUGAAGUUGUGGUGGAAUUGCACCAGGAAGAAUGGAGUAUAACUCAUACAGAGUGAAUUAAGCCAGUCCCAGAGGGACAAAUAUAAUAUGUUCUCCCUGAUCGGUGACAACUAACCAACCACAAAAAAGGAAACCUGUUGAAGUGAAAGGGACACUAUGAGAAACAGUGACUUGAUCAGCUCUUGUCCUGACUGUUGAUGUACAAUUUAACACUUUAUCCCUUUUAGUAUUUUUUUUGUUCUAGUUAAUACUAUUGGUUGAACUCUGUAAUUAACACACAUUUAUUCUUAGGUGUUGAAAUUUAACUGAAAAGUGAUCCCUGUUAAAUAUAAGAGUGGGAAUAAGAGAGGGAGGAGAUGUACAAUGUGGGACAUGCUCAGUCGUACUUGCCCCAAGUGGUGGAGUUAGAAAUGUGCCAGGGGAUUCCAAUUCAAUCCCUUCAAGGUGGCAGGUACCAAUGCCAUCUCACUAGUCCAAGUGAUCAAUUUCAGUUCAUAAUUGAUCACAUUGAUAGGUCUAAGAGUCAAAGGGAUCACACAAACAAGACUAGUGUCUGCUAAUACUAACUGAUAGAAUCAAAAAGGGAGAGAACUAUCCAACAUGGGAAGUGGGAUACACAGCAGACUCAUAGAACGGCAGAUGUCCUCUGGCCUCAGAAUCAGCCCUUAAGGCAUUCGGAACUGGCUGAAGAGCCCAUGAGAGUAUUUUAAAAAUGGAAAGCCAAGACACUCUGGCAAAAAACAAACAAACAAACAAACAAACAAAAAAAACCAAACACCUAAAUGAAAGAUCUCUGCGAGUGAGAUCCCAGUGGAAAGAACGGGCCAUCAAAGAAGGAGGUACCUUUCUCUGAAGGGAGGAGAGAACUUCCACUUUGACUAUGACCUUGUCUAAAUAAGUUCAAAGUCAACAAACUCAAGAGGCUUCCAUAGACUUGGCAACUCAUGACAAGAGCCUAGGGAGAUUUCUGACGCCAUAAACAAGAGUGUCAAAUUGUUAAGUCAACAACAGGAGUCACUGUGUACUUACUCCUCAUGUAGGAUCUCUGUCCUUAAUGUGUUGUUCAAUGUGAAUUAAUGCUAUAACUAGUACUGAAACAGUAUUUUACACUUUAUGUUCUGUGUGGGAGCAAACUGUUGAAAUCUUUACUUAAUAUAUACUAAAUCAAUCUUCUGUAUAUAAAGAGAAUUGAAAAUGAAUCUUGAUGUGAAUGGAAUGGGAGAAGGAGCGGGAGAUGGGAGGGGUGCGGGUGGGAGGGAAGUUAUGGGGGAGAAAAGCCAUUGUAAUCCAUAAACUGUACUUUGGAAAAUUAUAUUUACUAAAUAAAAGUUUUUAAAAAAUAACUCA
This 1949-nucleotide long non-coding RNA is filed under the name Oryctolagus cuniculus (rabbit). RNAcentral's name for it is "lncRNA (ENSOCUG00000039366.1)". Lineage: Eukaryota; Metazoa; Chordata; Mammalia; Lagomorpha; Leporidae. The record is from RNAcentral.